GUCUCUUGUGAAAUCUAAUGGCUUAACCAUUAAACUGCUUGGGAAACUGAUAGUCUAGAGUGAGGGAGAGGCAGAUGGAAUUGGUGGUGUAGGGGUAAAAUCCGUAGAUAUCACCAAGAAUACCCAUUGCGAAGGCGAUCUGCUGGAACUCAACUGACGCUAAGGCGCGAAAGCGUGGGGAGCAAACAGGAUUAGAUACCCUGGUAGUCCACGCCCUAAACGAUGUACACUAGUUGUUGGGGUGCUAGUCAUCUCAGUAAUGCAGCUAACGCAUUAAGUGUACCGCCUGGGGAGUACGGUCGCAAGAUUAAAACUCAAAGGAAUAGACGGGGACCCGCACAAGCGGUGGAGCAUGUGGUUUAAUUCGAAGAUACGCGAAGAACCUUACCUGGGCUUGAUAUCCUAAGAACCUUUUAGAGAUAAGAGGGUGCUAGCUUGCUAGAACUUAGAGACAGGUGCUGCACGGCUGUCGUCAGCUCGUGUCGUGAGAUGUUGGGUUAAGUCCCGCAACGAGCGCAACCCACGUAUUUAGUUGCUAACGGUUCGGCCGAGCACUCUAAAUAGACUGCCUUCGUAAGGAGGAGGAAGGUGUGGACGACGUCAAGUCAUCAUGGCCCUUAUGCCCAGGGCGACACACGUGCUACAAUGGCAUAUACAAUGAGACGCAAUACCGCGAGGUGGAGCAAAUCUAUAAAAUAUGUCCCAGUUCGGAUUGUUCUCUGCAACUCGAGAGCAUGAAGCCGGAAUCGCUAGUAAUCGUAGAUCAGCCAUGCUACGGUGAAUACGUUCCCGGGUCUUGUACUCACCGCCCGUCACACCAUGGGAGUUGAUUUCACUCGAAGCCGGAAUACUAAACUAGUUACCGUCCACAGUGGAAUCAGCGACUGGGGUGAAGUCGUAACAAGGUAACCGUAGGAGAACCUGCGGUUGGAUCACCUCCUUU
Molecule: ribosomal RNA, 943 nt
Filed under: Campylobacter jejuni
Lineage: Bacteria; Pseudomonadati; Campylobacterota; Epsilonproteobacteria; Campylobacterales; Campylobacteraceae
Description: bacterial SSU rRNA
Rfam family: Bacterial small subunit ribosomal RNA
Source: RNAcentral